UCUGGGUGCAGUGGUGCGCACCUGUAGUCCCAGCUACUUAGGAGGCUGAGGCAGGAGGAUCACUUGAGCCCAGGAGGUUGAGGUUGCAGUGAGCUAUGAUGGCACCUCUGCACUCCAACCUGGGCAACAGAGUGAGACUCUGUCUCAA
Callithrix jacchus (white-tufted-ear marmoset) is the source of this 148-nucleotide unclassified non-coding RNA. It matches the Rfam family "Metazoan signal recognition particle RNA". From Rfam's summary of the family: The signal recognition particle (SRP) is a universally conserved ribonucleoprotein. Lineage: Eukaryota; Metazoa; Chordata; Mammalia; Primates; Cebidae. The record is from Ensembl.